This 497-nucleotide ribosomal RNA is filed under the name uncultured bacterium. Its description in RNAcentral is "partial 16S ribosomal RNA". It matches the Rfam family "Bacterial small subunit ribosomal RNA", at positions 28 to 507 of the family's 1533-position model. The record is from RNAcentral.
GAUGAACGCUGGCGGCGUGCCUAAUACAUGCAAGUCGAGCGAACGGACGAGAAGCUUGCUUCUCUGAUGUUAGCGGCGGACGGGUGAGUAACACGUGGAUAACCUACCUAUAAGACUGGGAUAACUUCGGGAAACCGUAGCUAAUACCGGAUAAUAGUUUGAACCGCAUGGUUCAAAAGUGAAAGACGGUCUUGCUGUCACUUAUAGAUGGAUCCGCGCUGCAUUAGCUAGUUGGUAAGGUAACGGCUUACCAAGGCAACGAUGCAUAGCCGACCUGAGAGGGUGAUCGGCGACACUGGGACUGAGACACGGUCCAGACUCCGACGGGAGGCAGCAGUAGGGAAUCUUGCGAAAUGGGCGAAAGCCUGACGGAGCAACGCCGCGUGAGUGAUGAAGGUCUUCGGAUCGUAAAACUCUGUUAUUAGGGAAGAACAUAUGUGUAAGUAACUGUGCACAUCUUGACGGUACCUAAUCAGAAAGCCACGGCUAACUACGUG